CUUAUCAAUCUGAGCAUACCUGAUCAGAUCUGGAUUCAGAAGCUAAAGAGGAUCAGGCCUGGUUGGUAUAUGGAUGGGAAAUCCCCAGGUAGGGCAAGGAAAGA
Molecule: ribosomal RNA, 104 nt
Filed under: Pogona vitticeps (central bearded dragon)
Lineage: Eukaryota; Metazoa; Chordata; Lepidosauria; Squamata; Agamidae
Source: RNAcentral